UGUUUUACGCGUUAUUUAAUAUUUUGUGGAGAAUACCCACUGCUUAUGUUCUUUUUGUUAUUUUGUUACUUCCACGUGGAUCGAAUGAUAAGUGAGAAUCAGUGUUCACUCUAGUCCUGCUUUAUUAAGACUGAGCUAUUUGAUACAUGUAUUAUAUUUUUUGUAAUUAUUUUAUAUAAUUGUUAUAUUGGACUAUUGUCUAUAUCCUGAGUCUUACGAACUUGUAAAGGAUUUUUGACAUGUAAAUAAAUGAAAUGAAAUGAAAUGAAAAAACAGAAGUACGCCUUAUAUAUACAUACAGGCUUAUAACCAUAGUAACACUUAACAAUAUAAAUAUACUGUUGUUACACAUAACAGCAAACAUCACUUAGGUAACAAGACAUACCCUAGUUCUUAAAUUGUUUACUAUGAUGUUGCCAACUCUAACAUUAUAUUUCAGUAUCUGAGAGUUGCCAACAUAACACUUUUGUACGUCAGAGCCCAUGUUCCAGUUGUGCACUGUAUAGAAGAAAUUACACAAGUGUGACCUGUUUGGCUGGAUGUGCAUAGGAUAGGAUGCUUUCUUACCGAUAGAGCUCUCGGCACUGACGUCGGCCAUCGUAUGUCAACAGCUGAAUAUAGAGGGUACAGUAGUUUGUGGUGAUGUCAGGGGGUCAGCAGCUGAGUUUCCACGGGAUACCGCUAUGAGUCCUGCAUGUUUGGCAGUUAGUUUGCCGAUGUACAGUCGUAGAGGCUUGAAGGUGUCUUCUUUGUCGGAAAAUAAAGCCGAUUUUCAUAACGUUUUCAAGAUUUGACAAGCUCCAGAGGAAAAAAGAUGGAUGCAGCUCCAGGAACGACCAUCAAGCGUCCGCUCAGUUGUUCUUCUCCAUCAUUACAGUUAACAGCAAUAGUAUCAGAGGGAUCACAGCUAUCAGUUCCCAAGACCUUUGUCCUACACCCACAAGCACAAGAUUGCUGAUUUCAAUGAGUUGAACCAACUGGCUAGCCAAUUAAAACCAGGGUAUUGUACCGAUC
Cryptotermes secundus is the source of this 1014-nucleotide long non-coding RNA. RefSeq lists it as uncharacterized. The transcript is spliced from 2 exons. The record is from RefSeq and is a predicted model, not a curated record. Lineage: Eukaryota; Metazoa; Arthropoda; Insecta; Blattodea; Kalotermitidae.